This 519-nucleotide unclassified non-coding RNA is filed under the name uncultured Entrophospora. Its description in RNAcentral is "SSU rRNA". It matches the Rfam family "Eukaryotic small subunit ribosomal RNA", at positions 569 to 1093 of the family's 1831-position model. The record is from RNAcentral. Lineage: Eukaryota; Fungi; Glomeromycota; Glomeromycetes; Entrophosporales; Entrophosporaceae.
AGCAGCCGCGGUAAUUCCAGCUCCAAUAGCGUAUAUUAAAGUUGUUGCAGUUAAAAGCUCGUAGUUGAACUUCGGGGUUUACCCAUUGGUCAGGCUUAAUUGUCUGUACUGGUGAGAUAAAUCUCUACCUUCUGAGGAACUUUCAUGCCAUUUAUUUGGUGUGGUUGGAAAUCAGGACUAUUACUUUGAAAAAUUAGAGUGUUUAAAGCAGGCUAACGUCUGAAUAUAUUAGCAUGGAAUAAUGAAAUAGGACGGCUUGGUUCUAUUUCGUUGGUUUCUAGGAUCACCGUAAUGAUUAAUAGGGAUAGUUGGGGGCAUUAGUAUUCAAUUGUCAGAGGUGAAAUUCUUGGAUUUAUUGAAGACUAACUACUGCGAAAGCAUUUGCCAAGGAUGUUUUCAUUAAUCAAGAACGAAAGUUAGGGAUCGAAGACGAUCAGGUACCGUCGUAGUCUUAACCAUAAACUAUGCCGACUAGGGAUCGGGCGAUGUUGUUUCAAUGACUCGCUCGGCACCUUAUAC